UCCCUGGGAUGUUCGUUGAAGGUAAUGUCCCUGUGCCGAUAUUUACAAACUUAGGGUAGCUGUUUUUACUGACAUUGAGCAUGCUCGGUUUUCCGAGAAGCCUUAGGAGGUAAUCAGUUUCCCGCCUUGAACCUACGGUUCAAGGGCUACACCCGAGACGGCAUCCUGGGGA
RNAcentral lists this non-coding RNA (172 nucleotides) under uncultured Shewanella sp. Its description in RNAcentral is "6S / SsrS RNA". It matches the Rfam family "6S / SsrS RNA". From Rfam's summary of the family: E. coli 6S RNA was the first non coding RNA to be sequenced, but its function was unknown until recently. It consists of 184 nucleotides that fold into an extended hairpin structure with a large single-stranded internal bulge. The record is from RNAcentral. Lineage: Bacteria; Pseudomonadati; Pseudomonadota; Gammaproteobacteria; Alteromonadales; Shewanellaceae.